This 392-nucleotide ribosomal RNA is filed under the name Pardosa sp. PHP 18. Its description in RNAcentral is "partial 16S ribosomal RNA". The record is from RNAcentral. Lineage: Eukaryota; Metazoa; Arthropoda; Arachnida; Araneae; Lycosidae.
GCUUUUGUGCUAAGGUAGCAUAAUAAUUUGUCUUUUAUUUAAAGACUAUAACAAAAGGUUUAACAUCUCAACUAAUAUUUUAUAAAAAACUAUUAAAAUUAUUUUAAUUGUAAAAAAACAAUUUUAAAAAAGAAAGACGAUAAGACCCUAUCGAACUUUACUUUAGUUUAACUGGGGCAGUUAAUUAAUUAUUAUUUUAAUAUAAUUAAAUAUAUAAUUUGACCUAAUAUUAUUAAUAAAAUAAUUAAGUUACCGUAGGGAUAACAGCGUAAUAAAUUUUUUAAGAUCUUAUUUAAAAAAAAGAUUGCGACCUCGAUGUUGAUUUAAUAACCUAAUUUACGCAAUAGUUAGUUAAGGAAGUCUGUUCGACUUUUAAAAAAUUACAUGAUCUG